Molecule: non-coding RNA, 1147 nt
Organism: Malus domestica (apple)
Lineage: Eukaryota; Viridiplantae; Streptophyta; Magnoliopsida; Rosales; Rosaceae
Source: RefSeq, a predicted model, not a curated record
AAAAAUGUCGUUUCUUCUCUCGCUUGUUCUUCCCACCCACCUGGCCAUGGUGGAGCUCUGUUGCGGGUGUUCUUUACAUUGUCGAAGCUGACCAAGGUCCGGGAAGGCAAGAAGCGACGCGGCGAUACCGAUUUCAAAGAGGGUGGGCAAAGGAAUUGGGUGCAGCUCCUAUCCAACGGUGGGAUUGUGUCGACCUUAGUUGUGGUUCUUUGGGAAGAAUCGGGAUUGAAGAAGAAAUGCUUGGAUUCGGACGACUCGGUUCUCAUUACAGCGCUCGCCAGCCCACACCCCUUCCCAAAACCAUAACCAAGCUUUACAAUUCGAGUUGGGGGUCCCUGAAUUCGAACAAUAUCAGCCCACAUCUUCUUCUCCAGCAAGCUCCACGAUGCCAGAUUUUAAAAUACCUCACACCGCAAACAAAACCCAGAUCUCAAAAUCAAUGAAACGACGUCGGAGGAAGAGAAAGUGGAGGGUCAUUGUUGGAAAUAGCCAUGGCCUCCUUCUUGGAAGACUCUGUGUACGACGUUGUCGUCCAUCUAGGUCUUGACGAAGAAGAUGAAGUGGUGGAGUUGAAGGUUUGAUGUAAUUGCAACAGCGACGUCUGCUAACAUCGGUCACCAACGGCCGUCAAAUUACACAUCCAGAAUUCUCUCUUCCCGUCCUCUUUCCAACCCCCAAGUCAGUUUCUACAAAUUCGAAGCGGCAUUUCCUCAAUUUCAGAUCAAAAGAAACGGUGACCACGGGUUUUCCGGCAAACUUCCGGCCAAAUAUCGCAGGAAUUGGACCUCGAACCAAGAGUUUAUUUUCGUCCACGGGUCACCAACGGCCGUCAAAUUACAUAUCCAGACUCCUCUUUCCGUUCUCUUUCCAACUCCCAAGUUAGUUUCUACAGAUUAAUUGGACGUAGAAACAGGGGCGAGGAAAGAACUUGCGGGCAGCAGCGGGGUAGUGGGGUUACCUUAUGCUGUCAAUUUACCUUUAUUUUUCAUUUCUCUUUCAAAUUAUUAUUUCUUUUCAUUUUCAUUUUGUUUCUUUUUAUUUAGGUAUGUAUUAAAAGUGGAAAAAAAAUUAAUGGCAUUCAUCUUUAUUUGUAACUUGUAAGUAAGGGAUUUUAUAUUCGAUUAUCAUCAAAGAUGAAUUUGAACUA